GGCCAGGUCAGGUCAAGUAAGUGUAAAGUACUUGGCAAAAUGCCAGACAAAUAGUAAACAUUAUGUAAGUUUUUAUACUCUUUACAGUUGUUACUAUCAGCUGAGUCAGCCCUGGUGAGCAAGGACUUGGAAAUUUCCCAGUCUGUCCACCCACCCAGCCUAGCAUGGGCACAGAUGAAGGGAGGAGCUGUGAGGUCCUCAAGGACGAGGAAGGAGCCCUGAGAAGGAGUCAGAUGCAGCAACAAAGUCCAAGCCUGCUAUGGUGAAGAAAUGAGAGGUGCAAGUAAACUGGAAAGGAAGCUGAGGAAAACCCAAGCAAAAGGGCACUGCAUUUGAAGUCAGAAGACUGAGGCCACAGUCUCUGACCAUAACCCAGCUCUGUCACUAAUCAGUCACCCGGCCUUGGAUGUCAAUUCCCCCAGCCUUGCCUAUAAAGUGGAUGUUAAUCUACCCCAUCUAGCCUUUGAAAAAGAAUUAAAUGAUUC
RNAcentral lists this long non-coding RNA (485 nucleotides) under Homo sapiens (human). RNAcentral's name for it is "HSALNT0152320". Lineage: Eukaryota; Metazoa; Chordata; Mammalia; Primates; Hominidae. The record is from RNAcentral.